GAUGAAGAACGUAGCGAAAUGCGAUAAGUAAUGUGAAUUGCAGAAUUCAGUGAAUCAUCGAAUCUUUGAACGCACAUUGCGCCCGCCGGUAUUCCGGCGGGCAUGCCUGUUCGAGCGUCAUUUCAACCAUCAAGCCCUGGGCUUGUGUUGGGGACCUGCGGCUGCCGCAGGCCCUGAAAUGCAGUGGCGGGCUCGCAAGACACACCGAGCGUAGUAGCAUACAUCUCGCUCUGGGCGUGCUGCGGGUUCCGGCCGUUAAACCACCUUCAUAACCCAAGGUUGACCUCGGAUCAGGUAGGAAGACCCGCUGAACUUAAGCAUAUCAAUAAGCGGAGGA
This 337-nucleotide unclassified non-coding RNA is filed under the name soil metagenome. RNAcentral describes it as "partial contains 5.8S ribosomal RNA, internal transcribed spacer 2, and large subunit ribosomal RNA". The stretch from base 1 to 120 matches the Rfam family "5.8S ribosomal RNA", at positions 35 to 154 of the family's 154-position model. The record is from RNAcentral.